GAUAAACGCUGGCGGCGUGCAUAACACAUGCAAGUCGAACGAAGUGGCGAACGGGUGAAUAACACGUGAGAAACCUGCCUUACACAAGGGGAUAGCCUGUGGAAACGAAGAAUAAUACCCUAUAGUGUACGAUGGACUUGCGUCUGAUUAGCUAGUUGGUGAGAUAAAGGCCCACCAAGGCAACGAUCAGUAGCCGGCUUGGGGGAGUGUACGGCCACAUUGGGGCUGAGACCAGGCCCAAACUCUACGGGAGGAAGCAGUGGGGAAUGUUGCACAAUGGGGGAAACCCUGAGGUAGCGACUCCGCGUGAUUUAGAAGGCCUUCAGGUUGUAAAAAUCUUUUUUAUGGGAGGCAGUACCAUAAGAAUAAGGUCCGGCUAACUACGUGCCAGCCGCCGCGGUAAUUC
RNAcentral lists this ribosomal RNA (406 nucleotides) under uncultured bacterium. RNAcentral describes it as "partial 16S ribosomal RNA". It matches the Rfam family "Bacterial small subunit ribosomal RNA", at positions 28 to 526 of the family's 1533-position model. The record is from RNAcentral.